GAUGAAGAACGCAGCGAAAUGCGAUACGUAAUGUGAAUUGCAAAUUCAGUGAAUCAUCGAGUCUUUGAACGCACAUUGCGCCCCCUGGUAUUCCGGGGGGCAUGCCUGUCCGAGCGUCAUUGCUGCCCUCAAGCACGGCUUGUGUGUUGGGCCCCGUCCUCCGAUCCCGGGGGACGGGCCCGAAAGGCAGCGGCGGCACCGCGUCCGGUCCUCGAGCGUAUGGGGCUUUGUCACCCGCUCUGUAGGCCCGGCCGGCGCUUGCCGAUCAACCCAAAUUUUUAUCCAGGUUGACCUCGGAUCAGGUAGGGAUACCCGCUGAACUUAAGCAUAUCAAUAAGCGAAGGA
This 345-nucleotide unclassified non-coding RNA is filed under the name soil metagenome. Its description in RNAcentral is "partial contains 5.8S ribosomal RNA, internal transcribed spacer 2, and large subunit ribosomal RNA". The stretch from base 1 to 119 matches the Rfam family "5.8S ribosomal RNA", at positions 35 to 154 of the family's 154-position model. The record is from RNAcentral.